Molecule: unclassified non-coding RNA, 336 nt
Filed under: soil metagenome
Description: partial contains 5.8S ribosomal RNA, internal transcribed spacer 2, and large subunit ribosomal RNA
Rfam family: 5.8S ribosomal RNA (bases 1-120)
Source: RNAcentral
GAUGAAGAACGCAGUGAAAUGCGAUAAGUAGUGUGAAUUGCAGAAUUCAGUGAAUCAUCGAAUCUUUGAACGCACAUUGCGCCCUUUGGUAUUCCUUAGGGCAUGCCUGUUCGAGCGUCAUUUGAACCCUCAAGCUCAGCUUGGUGUUGGGUGUCUGUCCCCGCCUCCGCGGGGACUCGCCUCAAAAUCAUUGGCGGCCGGUACGUUGGCUUCGAGCGCAGCAGAAACGCGAACUCGAGGCCCGGCGGAUCGGCGACCAGAAGUCUCUUCUUCACAGUUUGACCUCGGAUCAGGUAGGGAUACCCGCUGAACUUAAGCAUAUCAAUAAGCGGAGGA